ACUCCUACGGGAGGCAGCAGUAGGGAACCUUCCACAAUGGGCGCAAGCCUGAUGGAGCAACACCGCGUGAGUGAAGAAGGGUUUCGGCUCGUAAAGCUCUGUUGUUAAAGAAGAACACGUAUGAGAGUAACUGUUCAUACGUUGACGGUAUUUAACCAGAAAGUCACGGCUAACUACGUGCCAGCAGCCGCGGUAAUACGUAGGUGGCAAGCGUUAUCCGGAUUUAUUGGGCGUAAAGAGAGUGCAGGCGGUUUCUAAGUCUGAUGUGAAAGCCUUCGGCUUAACCGGAGAAGUGCAUCGGAAACUGGAUAACUUGAGUGCAGAAGAGGGUAGUGGAACUCCAUGUGUAGCGGUGGAAUGCGUAGAUAUAUGGAAGAACACCAGUGGCGAAGGCGGCUACCUGGUCUGCAACUGACGCUGAGACUCGAAAGCAUGGGUAGCGAACAGGAUUAGAUACCCCGUGGUAGGAUAGCG
RNAcentral lists this ribosomal RNA (474 nucleotides) under uncultured bacterium. RNAcentral's name for it is "bacterial SSU rRNA". It matches the Rfam family "Bacterial small subunit ribosomal RNA", at positions 335 to 801 of the family's 1533-position model. The record is from RNAcentral.